This 474-nucleotide ribosomal RNA is filed under the name uncultured Neisseria sp. RNAcentral describes it as "bacterial SSU rRNA". It matches the Rfam family "Bacterial small subunit ribosomal RNA", at positions 34 to 497 of the family's 1533-position model. Lineage: Bacteria; Pseudomonadati; Pseudomonadota; Betaproteobacteria; Neisseriales; Neisseriaceae. The record is from RNAcentral.
CGCUGGCGGCAUGCUUUACACAUGCAAGUCGGACGGCAGCACAGAGAAGCUUGCUUCUUGGGUGGCGAGUGGCGAACGGGUGAGUAACAUAUCGGAACGUACCGAGUAGUGGGGGAUAACUGAUCGAAAGAUCAGCUAAUACCGCAUACGUCUUGAGAGAGAAAGCAGGGGACCUUUGGGCCUUGCGCUAUUCGAGCGGCCGAUAUCUGAUUAGCUAGUUGGUGGGGUAAAGGCCUACCAAGGCGACGAUCAGUAGCGGGUCUGAGAGGAUGAUCCGCCACACUGGGACUGAGACACGGCCCAGACUCCUACGGGAGGCAGCAGUGGGGAAUUUUGGACAAUGGGCGCAAGCCUGAUCCAGCCAUGCCGCGUGUCUGAAGAAGGCCUUCGGGUUGUAAAGGACUUUUGUCAGGGAAGAAAAGGCUGUUGCUAAUACCAGCGGCUGAUGACGGUACCUGAAGAAUAAGCACCGGC